GGGCCCGUAGCUCAGUUAGGCAGAGCGUUGGGCUCCAGAUAAUCUUUGGGUCUUCCGACCAUAAAGGGAUGAUAUAUAUCUGGAGCGGGAGAGACCCAAAGGUCGCGGGUUCAAAUCCCGUCGGGCCCA
RNAcentral lists this transfer RNA (129 nucleotides) under Sulfolobales archaeon HS-7. It matches the Rfam family "tRNA". Rfam says of the family: Transfer RNA (tRNA) molecules are approximately 80 nucleotides in length. Their secondary structure includes four short double-helical elements and three loops (D, anti-codon, and T loops). Further hydrogen bonds mediate the characteristic L-shaped molecular structure. tRNAs have two regions of fundamental functional importance: the anti-codon, which is responsible for specific mRNA codon recognition, and the 3' end, to which the tRNAs corresponding amino acid is attached (by aminoacyl-tRNA synthetases). tRNAs cope with the degeneracy of the genetic code in two manners: having more than one tRNA (with a specific anti-codon) for a particular amino acid; and 'wobble' base-pairing, i.e. permitting non-standard base-pairing at the 3rd anti-codon position. The record is from Rfam by way of RNAcentral. Lineage: Archaea; Thermoproteati; Thermoproteota; Thermoprotei; Sulfolobales.